This 243-nucleotide ribosomal RNA is filed under the name uncultured Bacillota bacterium. Its description in RNAcentral is "uncultured Firmicutes bacterium partial 16S ribosomal RNA". It matches the Rfam family "Bacterial small subunit ribosomal RNA", at positions 796 to 1041 of the family's 1533-position model. The record is from RNAcentral. Lineage: Bacteria; Bacillati; Bacillota.
CACGCUGUAAACGAUGGAUACUAGGUGUGGGGGUCGAUAGGCCUCUGUGCCGUAGUAAACGCAUUAAGUAUCCCGCCUGGGGAGUACGAUCGCAAGGUUGAAACUCAAAGGAAUUGACGGGGGCCCGCACAAGCAGCGGAGCAUGUGGUUUAAUUCGAAGCAACGCGAAGAACCUUACCAAGGCUUGACAUCCUCUGACCGCUAUAGAGAUAUAGCUUCCCUUCGGGGCAGAGUGACAGGUGG